Molecule: long non-coding RNA, 946 nt
Organism: Triticum aestivum (bread wheat)
Lineage: Eukaryota; Viridiplantae; Streptophyta; Magnoliopsida; Poales; Poaceae
Exons: 3
Source: RefSeq, a predicted model, not a curated record
ACAUGAACUUGCAGGUCGUCCAGGUCUCUUCCUCUAUCCCCGAGCGCCGGCCCUAUCCCUAUCCCUGAGCUCCUCUGUUGGUCGAGGCUGCGCCGCCACCGUCCUCAAUCCCGGCGGCGAGCUUCCGCGCCCUCUGAUACCCAUCUACUCUUCUUCUGCAGGCCCCCAUGGUGGGUCUCUUCUUUACUUUAUUUUUUAAUGUCGUCUCCUGCAGCGUUCUGCCUUGGCGACUGCGGCAGCCGCACGCGCUGCUGGCUUCCAUCGCCGAUUGUAUUCCUCUUGCGUCCGCCUCCAUGCGCUUGCAGCUGGUGGCUGUGGUAACGGGACUGACGGUGAAGGAGAUUCGACAGAGCCGAUCGUGACGAGCACCUCAUCCUCCUUUUACUCCGCAGGAUCAGCGUCCCCUUUUCUUUUGUGUCUGACCAACAGGGUAGGAUGACGUACGUUGUUGAUUUGUUGUACUGAUGCGUGAUCGGGCAUCUCGGGAGGAUCUAGGCCAUGGACAACACAUUGCAGAGGCCAUUAAUAUGUAGCAAAGCCAUUUUAUGAGGUCGUCGUUGACAACAAUGUUAUGCUCAACUUUGAGAGCCAAUCUUCUUUUAUCCGUAUUCAACUCUUGUUGGUAACAUAUUCAUCUCUUGUUAGGCACGCUUAUACGCUGAUGUUACAUUUUUGCCGGAUUUUGAUGUUUGUGCAUCGGAGAGCUUCCUUGAUGCUGGCAUCAGCUUGGAAGUUGUUGCUUUUCAGAGAACUCUGGGAACCAUAUAUCCUUCACAAGGCACACAAUUAUUCAGAAGAAUAGUAACUGUUAGUCGUGCUUAGAUGCUUCACAUUCCAUUCUUUUACUGCCCCCAAACGUACUAUAACAAACAAUCAUCUUCAUAUUUGAGGCAUUGCAGUUUUGGAUACUCAUACUUCUUACAUAUAUUUGUACCAUCUAAAUUUA